RNAcentral lists this ribosomal RNA (758 nucleotides) under Homalodisca liturata. RNAcentral describes it as "eukaryotic LSU rRNA". The stretch from base 1 to 91 matches the Rfam family "5.8S ribosomal RNA", at positions 66 to 154 of the family's 154-position model. The record is from RNAcentral. Lineage: Eukaryota; Metazoa; Arthropoda; Insecta; Hemiptera; Cicadellidae.
UGUGAACUGCAGGACACAUGAACAUCGACAAUUUGAACGCACAUUGCGGCCCUGGGAUAUUAUUCCAAGGGCCACGCCUGUCUGAGGGUCGGCAGAACAUGAACUGCGGUUCAACCAGCUUUGCGGCGGUGAGACUGUCACAGAAAGCGGACUACGUACGAUGGGUCUCGGCGGCCCUGCACCACGUGGGUGCAGGCGAGUCGCCUAGGUCCCGGGCCUUGUAGCCUAGCCGUGCGGUACACCUCAACGGUGACCGCGCGGACCCACGUGCGUCCCGCUGAGACGUCCGACUGCACGCUUUUUGGGAGCACUGUCGCACGGGACACCUCGCUCGCGAGGUGUCACGCGGGCAAUCUCCUCAAAUACCACUGCGGUGCACAGUACCGAGCUAGACGGGCAGCACGCAAAACACUCUGUUCUAGCCGCGAGUCGCGCGAAAGGCACGGCUCCGGUCCCGUCGUCCCCGAGGGGUCGGCGGUGAGUGACGCGGCUCGAUCUCGCACACGCCAUGUUCGACUGUGGUGACCGACUAAAACAGUGAAAUUAGUCAACUGCUCACAUGUGUUCUGGCACCUCGGCGGAUCGUUGUCGGCGCUCACGCAACCGGAGGCGCGUGUCCCUUUCGGGGCCGCGAGGCCCGCCACGGCUCGCUCUUUUCGGAGGGCGUGUCCGCCAGGCGGGUUUAAAACACGCAAGUGUAUAAAUUUUCUCUGAUUGCGACCUCAGAUCAGGUGGGUCUACCCCCUAAAUUUAAGCAU